UACGGAGGGUGCGAGCGUUGUCCGGAAUCAUUGGGCGUAAAGGGCGCGUAGGUGGCCUGCUAAGCGUGCGGUGAAAGCUCGGGGCUCAACCCCGAGUCGGCCGUGCGAACUGGUGGGCUUGAGCACUGUAGAGGCAGGCGGAAUUCCGGGUGUAGCGGUGGAAUGCGUAGAGAUCCGGAAGAACACCGGUGGCGAAGGCGGCCUGCUGGGCAGUGGCUGACACUGAGGCG
This 230-nucleotide ribosomal RNA is filed under the name uncultured bacterium. Its description in RNAcentral is "partial 16S ribosomal RNA". It matches the Rfam family "Bacterial small subunit ribosomal RNA", at positions 524 to 753 of the family's 1533-position model. The record is from RNAcentral.